UACGGAGGGGACUAGCGUUGUUCGGAAUUACUGGGCGUAAAGCGCACGUAGGCGGAUUUGUUAGUCAGGGGUGAAAUCCCGAGGCUCAACCUCGGAACUGCCUUUGAUACUGCAAAUCUCGAGUCCGGGAGAGGGAUGUGGAAUUCCAGGUGUAGCGGUGAAAUGCGUAGAUAUUAGGAAGAACACCGGUGGCGAAGGCGGCCCACUGGCUCGACACUGACGCUGAGGUGCGAAAGCGUGGGGAGCAAACAGG
RNAcentral lists this ribosomal RNA (253 nucleotides) under uncultured bacterium. RNAcentral's name for it is "partial 16S ribosomal RNA". It matches the Rfam family "Bacterial small subunit ribosomal RNA", at positions 524 to 776 of the family's 1533-position model. The record is from RNAcentral.